Molecule: long non-coding RNA, 541 nt
Filed under: Fukomys damarensis (Damara mole-rat)
Lineage: Eukaryota; Metazoa; Chordata; Mammalia; Rodentia; Bathyergidae
Description: lncRNA (ENSFDAG00000031078.1)
Source: RNAcentral
CAGAGGAUGUGAGGUGACAACCCUUGCUUGUCUUCUUGUCUGUUUGUUCAACCUCUUCAGCCUUCAUAGCCACAGAGGAAGGACAAGGACUGCAGUGAUGUGCACUUUGGAUGGACAGAAGUGGAGAGCAGACUUCAGAAAACAAAAUCAAGUGUGAACUGUUACCUCACUCCUCUCAGGAGUGCCUGGCCAGGUGGACCCCAGGAGCCGCGUGUCUGUGCCUCACCCUGACGCUGCACCUGAUCCCAGAGAAGUGGGGACCUCCAUCAUGCCUGCUGGGCGUUGCUGGACUCCUGACUCUGCCUGGACCAGGUUGGCAGAGGGGAACACGUGCAUGUGUGCAGUUGGUCAUGGAAUUCAUAUGCACCUGUUGAUCCCAGGCAAGGAAGCUCACCAGGACCUCCAUGUUAGCGACUUUGAACUCUAAGGUGAGGAGACCUGGGCCUGGGGGGCCGUGGCUCAUUCAGGAGCCACAUCCUAGGCUGUGAGAGGGUCUCUGAGUGCCCGGGUUUCCCAGCCUAACCUCACAGCCUCCACUCAC